AUAAAAAGAAUACAGUUAGAAAAGCAAUCCAAGGCUCAGCAUCAAGGGGGUUUCACUGAGAGAGUGAGCGAGUGAGAAUGAUGGAAAAGACCAGAACUGUCCUGCGCUUAAUCAUGCAGUUCCAGGGGACCAACCCUGUGACCUGUCGUAACCUCUGAUUUUACCGGAGUACAAAUGUGGGACACCGGCCCCUUGGAAAAAUAUCAGAAAACUUUGCAAAACAAGGUGACUCAACUGUAACAAGUGAAGUGGAAAAUACUAAGUGACACGCCAUGGACAUUUAAGUGGUAGCGCUUGGGUCAUCCACCGCAAUUGCUCCCCAUUGCUGUGAACGGAAAAGCCACGCCCCUGCCUCAACCAACCGUACUGUCUGCCAGGUAGAGCUCAGCCCUGAGCUCGAUUGCCCUCCCAAAGGGGGCUUGGUUCAGCUUGUCUGGGUCAGAAAGGCCUAGCCCCAAUUUCUACGCUGUCGUCUUGCUGAUCAGAGCAGAGCCUAAAAGAGACGUUUCAUUUUCAAGGGCAGACAGGAAGAGGAGGUUUUUUGUGGCCAAGGCCCUGGGCUGGGACUCCAGAGAUCUGGGUUCAACUCCCAGAUGUGCCAGAGACUUCCUGUGUGACCAUGGGCAAAUCACUUAAUCCCUCUGUGCUUCUGUUCCCAAUCUGUAAUAACAAUACUUCCCUGUCACAGACGGGUACUGUGAAGCACUCAGCUACUAUGGUGAUGGCAGAUUUUGUUUAUUUGUAUGGUGGUGACACCUGAAGUCUCUAAUUAUGGACAGGGCCCUGUUGUACUAGGUACUGUGCAGACGCACAACACAGAUGACAACCCCUGCUCUGACGCACUUACCAGCUAAGGUCACGUCUGCACUUGGAGCUAGACGUGCGAUUCCCAGCUCACGUAGAUGGAUUCGUACUAGCACACUAAAAAUAGGAG
This is a long non-coding RNA of Mauremys reevesii (Reeves's turtle), 934 nucleotides long. RefSeq lists it as uncharacterized. The record is from RefSeq and is a predicted model, not a curated record. Lineage: Eukaryota; Metazoa; Chordata; Testudines; Geoemydidae. The transcript has 4 exons.